RNAcentral lists this ribosomal RNA (253 nucleotides) under uncultured prokaryote. RNAcentral's name for it is "partial 16S ribosomal RNA". It matches the Rfam family "Bacterial small subunit ribosomal RNA", at positions 524 to 776 of the family's 1533-position model. The record is from RNAcentral.
UACGUAGGGGGCGAGCGUUGCUCGGAAUUACUGGGCGUAAAGGGUGUGUAGGUGGCUGAAUGAGUCAAAGAUGAAAUCCCGAGGUUCAACUUCGGAAUUGUCUUUGAUACUGUUCGGCUUGAGGUUAGUUGAGGAGAGCGGAAUUCCCGGUGGAGCGGUGAAAUGCGUAGAUAUCGGGAGGAACACCUGAGGCGAAGGCGGUUCUCUAAACUAAUCCUGACACUGAGACACGAGAGCUAGGGGAGCGAACGGG